RNAcentral lists this ribosomal RNA (245 nucleotides) under uncultured Actinomycetes bacterium. Its description in RNAcentral is "uncultured actinobacterium partial 16S ribosomal RNA". It matches the Rfam family "Bacterial small subunit ribosomal RNA", at positions 796 to 1041 of the family's 1533-position model. Lineage: Bacteria; Bacillati; Actinomycetota; Actinomycetes. The record is from RNAcentral.
CUAGCCGUAAACGAUGGGCACUAGGUGUGGGGGGUCAUCGACUCCCUCCGUGCCGAAGCUAACGCAUUAAGUGCCCCGCCUGGGGAGUACGGCCGCAAGGCUAAAACUCAAAGGAAUUGACGGGGGCCCGCACAAGCAGCGGAGCAUGUGGCUUAAUUCGACGCAACGCGAAGAACCUUACCAGGGCUUGACAUGCAGGGAAAAACGGCGGAAACGUCGUGUCCGCAAGGGCCCUGCACAGGUGG